UGCAGUCGAGCGGUAAGGCCUUUCGGGGUACACGAGCGGCGAACGGGUGAGUAACACGUGGGUGAUCUGCCCUGCACUUCGGGAUAAGCCUGGGAAACUGGGUCUAAUACCGGAUAUGACCUCCUAUCGCAUGGUGGGUGGUGGAAAGAUUUAUCGGUGCAGGAUGGGCCCGCGGCCUAUCAGCUUGUUGGUGGGGUAAUGGCCUACCAAGGCGACGACGGGUAGCCGACCUGAGAGGGUGACCGGCCACACUGGGACUGAGACACGGCCCAGACUCCUACGGGAGGCAGCAGUGGGGAAUAUUGCACAAUGGGCGAAAGCCUGAUGCAGCGACGCCGCGUGAGGGAUGACGGCCUUCGGGUUGUAAACCUCUUUCAGCAGGGACGAAGCGCAAGUGACGGUACCUGCAGAAGAAGCACCGGCUAACUACGUGCCAGCAGCCGCGGUAAUACGUAGGGUGCAAGCGUUGUCCGGAAUUACUGGGCGUAAAGAGUUCGUAGGCGGUUUGUCGCGUCGUUUGUGAAAACCAGCAGCUCAACUGCUGGCUUGCAGGCGAUACGGGCAGACUUGAGUACUGCAGGGGAGACUGGAAUUCCUGGUGUAGCGGUGAAAUGCGCAGAUAUCAGGAGGAACACCGGUGGCGAAGGCGGGUCUCUGGGCAGUAACUGACGCUGAGGAACGAAAGCGUGGGUAGCG
Molecule: ribosomal RNA, 696 nt
Filed under: Actinomycetes bacterium
Lineage: Bacteria; Bacillati; Actinomycetota; Actinomycetes
Description: bacterial SSU rRNA
Rfam family: Bacterial small subunit ribosomal RNA
Source: RNAcentral